GCAGAGCUCAGCCCCGCCCUCCGGAUCCGCACGUCCGCUGCCGUUUCACAUUCGCUUCAGCUGCAGACUCGCGCGACCAGAAACCCAGCCUCGUUCGCCGCUUCAGCCGUCGUCUCACGUUCGCUCCAGUUGCGGACUCGCGUGACCAGAAACCCAGCUUCGUUCGCCGCUCGUCCAGCCUGCUAUCCGAGCCUAGCUGCCUUCCUCCACUGUCGUUCGUUGGAUUUCGACGAAUGUUGGUAAGUUUUGAGUGAGAUCCAAGACUGGGGUACUUCAGAGUGCGCAACGUGUUGCCUAGUGGAUUCGAGUUCGUUCGGCAAGUAGUUUGGUUCCAAGUCGUCAUCCAUUGAAUUUUAAAAUCUGCUAAGAGGAGAUUUUGGAGUCGAAAUCUUGUGAGUGUUUGUGGAGCAAGUUUCGUUUUGGGGGACUUAAUUCAAGAUUUAUUUUGUUGAAGAGCAUUAGCUUGGACUAAUAUCUGGACUUGACUUCGAGGUAAGUAAUCUUAUCACUGGAACUGCCCACGGGCCAGGAUUUAGUUGUAUGCUAGAAUGGUGAGUAUAUGUUAUGGUAAAUUGUUAGCAUGUUGAUUGAUAGUAUGACCUGAAUCAAAGUAUGUUCUGGUACGAGUACUGAAUUGUUUAAAUACACGCCUAAGCACUUGAUCGUUAGUAUGUGAUGGUAUGUGUUUUCAUAUGUCGACGUCAUAUCUGCUGGUGUGAGGCAUAUUUGUAUGUUGUAGAAUUAUGAUGUAAGGUCUACAUGAAUGUUGUAUAAUGUGUUGUUGAGGAUUAUGUGUAUGUGAUAUAGCUAUGGUACCAAGGAUUUCAUGUAUGUUUUAGAAUUGUACGGUGUUGAUUCUUUGAACGUUGAGACUAUGUGAAUAUCCUCAUUGAUUAGUUAGAUGCUCACCAAGUUUGUGUUUUCCUUCGGGAUUCACCAGUUUUUAUGUUUUCCUUCGGGAUUCACCAGUUUUGUGUUUCCUUCGAGAUUCACUAGUUUGUUGUUCCUUCGAGAUUCACCAGUUUUUGUGUUUCCUUCGGGAUUCACCAGUUUUUUGUUUCCUCCGGGAUUCACCAGUUUUGUGGUUCCUCCGGGAAUUCACCAGUUUUUGUGGCAUACUUAACUAUAAUAGAAUAGGACUCAGUUUCUUGUUUGUUCCAUUUGUUUAUGUGCCAUAGGUGGGUAUCUAGAGGACAUAGAUGCCUAGCCUGACCCCAGUGGUGGGGUUACUUACUGAGUAUUUCAUGCUCAUUCUUUCCUAUGUUGAUGUUUCAAGUAAGGGUAGAGAUGCACCGACGAUGGCGCAGCGGAAUUCGUGACCGUGCCACUGGGACUAGAUUUUACGCUUCCGCAUCAUGACAUUUAUAGUCCUUAUAUUUUUCUCUUAAUGUUUAGUUUUACUAUCUUAAACUUAUUAUUAAGGAUUAUGUCUUUUGUAUACUUUUAAUAGUCUUUACGAAUUAUGGGUACCCUAUUAUUGUCUUUUUUAACAAUUGCAUUUAAAAAUG
This is a long non-coding RNA of Benincasa hispida (wax gourd), 1508 nucleotides long. RefSeq lists it as uncharacterized. Lineage: Eukaryota; Viridiplantae; Streptophyta; Magnoliopsida; Cucurbitales; Cucurbitaceae. The record is from RefSeq and is a predicted model, not a curated record.